AUAUAGAGAUUUUCGGAUCUUGUUCACCGGAUAGUAGUUACAUAGCCAAUUGUGGAACUUUCUUGCUAAAAUUUUUCAAGUUAUAUUCUUUCGGGAUUAUAUGCUUGUUUAAUUAUAACGAUUAUCAAUUAACAAUCAAUUCAGAACUGGCACGGACUUGGGGAAUCCGACUGUCUAAUUAAAACAAAGCAUUGUGAUGGCCCUAGCGGGUGUUGACACAAUGUGAUUUCUGCCCAGUGCUCUGAAUGUCAAAGUGAAGAAAUUCAAGUAAGCGCGGGUAAACGGCGGGAGUAACUAUGACUCUCUUAAGGUAGCCAAAUGCCUCGUCAUCUAAUUAGUGACGCGCAUGAAUGGAUUAACGAGAUUCCUUCUGUCCCUAUCUACUAUCUAGCGAAACCACAGCCAAGGGAACGGGCUUGGAAUAAUUAGCGGGGAAAGAAGACCCUAUUGAGCUUGACUCUAAUCUGGCAGUGUAAGGAGACAUAAGAGGUGUAGAAUAAGUGGGAGAUAUUUAGAAAUUUAUUUUUAUUUAUCGCCAAUGAAAUACCACUACUCUUAUUGUUUCCUUACUUACUUGAUUAAAUGGAACGUGUAUCAUUGCUUAGCCAUAUUAAGGAUCUAUUUUCAAUAGAUCUUAUGGUAUUGGGUCUUGAUGCAAGCUUCUUGAUCAAAGUAUCACGAGUUUGUUAUAUAAUUGUAAACAAAAUUUAAUGAAGAUAAUUGUAUUUUAUACUAUUAUUGUUAAUUAAAAUUUGGUAUAACUCCAACACUCAGGUAUGAUCCAAUUCAAGGACAUUGCCAGGUGGGGAGUUCGACUGGGGCGGUACAUCUCUCAAAUAAUAACGG
RNAcentral lists this ribosomal RNA (846 nucleotides) under Teleopsis nr. quinqueguttata 1 MS-2015. RNAcentral describes it as "eukaryotic LSU rRNA". It matches the Rfam family "Eukaryotic large subunit ribosomal RNA", at positions 1958 to 2655 of the family's 3401-position model. Lineage: Eukaryota; Metazoa; Arthropoda; Insecta; Diptera; Diopsidae. The record is from RNAcentral.